AACGAACGCUGGCGGCGCGCCUAAUACAUGCAAGUCGAGCGAGAAGGUGUAGCAAUACACUUGUAAAGCGGCGAACGGGUGAGGAAUGCAUGGGUAACCUACCCUCGAGUGGGGAAUAACUAGCCGAAAGGUUAGCUAAUACCGCAUACGUUUCCGGAACUUCGGUUUCGGAAAGAAAGCAAUACCGUGGGUAUUGCGCUCCUGGAUGGGCUCAUGUCCUAUCAGCUUGUUGGUGAGGUAACGGCUCACCAAGGCUUCGACGGGUAGCUGGUCUGAGAGGACGAUCAGCCACACUGGCACUGCGACACGGGCCAGACUCCUACGGGAGGCAGCAGUAAGGAAUAUUGCGCAAUGGACGAAAGUCUGACGCAGCGACGCCGCGUGGGGGAUGAAGGUCUUCGGGAUUGUAAACCCCUUUCGGGAGGGAAGAUGGAGUGGGUAACCACUUGGACGGUACCUCCAGAAGUAGCCACGGCUAACUUCGUGCCAGCAGCCGCGGUAA
RNAcentral lists this ribosomal RNA (502 nucleotides) under uncultured bacterium. RNAcentral's name for it is "bacterial SSU rRNA". It matches the Rfam family "Bacterial small subunit ribosomal RNA", at positions 29 to 523 of the family's 1533-position model. The record is from RNAcentral.